GGAGAGGUGGGUGAGUGGCUGAAACCAGCAGUUUGCUAAACUGCCGUACCUCAGGGUACCGGGGGUUCGAAUCCCCCUCUCUCCG
RNAcentral lists this transfer RNA (85 nucleotides) under Cyclobacteriaceae bacterium. RNAcentral's name for it is "tRNA-Ser". It matches the Rfam family "tRNA". Rfam says of the family: Transfer RNA (tRNA) molecules are approximately 80 nucleotides in length. Their secondary structure includes four short double-helical elements and three loops (D, anti-codon, and T loops). The record is from RNAcentral. Lineage: Bacteria; Pseudomonadati; Bacteroidota; Cytophagia; Cytophagales; Cyclobacteriaceae.